RNAcentral lists this non-coding RNA (825 nucleotides) under Anterhynchium abdominale. The record is from RNAcentral. Lineage: Eukaryota; Metazoa; Arthropoda; Insecta; Hymenoptera; Vespidae.
AUAAAUUUAAUAUAAUUGAAACUGAUUUUUUAAAAAAUUUAAUUUUUGUUUUAAAAUUAAUUGAAAAAUGAUAAUAAUAAAUAACUUUUUAUAUUUAAAUAAUUGAUAGAAAAUUAAUAUUUAUAUUUAAAUAAUUAAUGAGAAUUAUAUUUAGAUAUUUUUGAUAAAAAUUGGUUAAUUUAGUGCCAGCCACAGCGGUUAAACUAAAAUUGUAAGUUAAUUUGUUCAAUAAAUAAUAAAAUAAAUUUUUAAUUUUAUAUGUAUGUAUAAUAUACUUACAUAUAUUUUGUAUUUAAAAUAUAUUUUUUAUGGUGAAAUGUAAAAAAUUUAAUAUAAGUAUAUAUAAAAAAAAUUUAAUUAAAAAAUUUAUGUGUUAAACUAGGAUUAGAUACCCUAUUAUAAUAAAAUAUAUGAAAUUAUAUUAAAGUAUUAAAUGAUAAAUCAUUAAAUUUAUGAGAUUUGGCGGUAUUUUAUUCCAGUCAGGGGAACUUGUUAAUUAAAAUGAUGAUCCACGAUAAGAAUUACUUAAUUUAAUAUUUGUGUAUUGCUGUUUUUAGAUAUGUUUUAAGCACAUAGUUUAAAUUUAUUUUGGUAAAGUAAUUCAAGUCAAAAUAUAGUUUAGUUAAGAUUUAAUGAGUUACAAUAAUUUAUAAUUAUUUACGAAUUUUAAAAUUUAAAUUUUUAGAUGAAGGUGGACUUGAGAGUAAAAUUAAUUAAUUAAUUAAUUUGAAAAUUGGUUUUGAAAUAUGUACAAAUCGCCCGUCACUUCCAAUAAAAUGGAAUAAGUCGUAACAAAGUUUAGAUACCGGAAGGUGUUUAUAGAUU